UACGUAGGGCGCAAGCGUUAUCCGUAAUUAUUGGGCGUAAAGAGCUCGUAGGCGGUUUGUCGCGUCUGCCGUGAAAGUCCGGGGCUUAACUCCGGAUCUGCGGUGGGUACGGGCAGACUAGAGUGCAGUAGGGGAGACUGGAAUUCCUGGUGUAGCGGUGAAAUGCGCAGAUAUCAGGAGGAACACCGAUGGCGAAGGCAGGUCUCUGGGCUGUAACUGACGCUGAGGAGCGAAAGCAUGGGGAGCGAACAGG
Molecule: ribosomal RNA, 253 nt
Filed under: uncultured bacterium
Lineage: Bacteria
Description: partial 16S ribosomal RNA
Rfam family: Bacterial small subunit ribosomal RNA
Source: RNAcentral